Molecule: non-coding RNA, 84 nt
Filed under: Schistosoma japonicum
Lineage: Eukaryota; Metazoa; Platyhelminthes; Trematoda; Strigeidida; Schistosomatidae
Source: RNAcentral
UUCAGCUCCAUAGAGAUGAACUGUCUUGACCUUCGAAUUGAAGAAUUCAACUUUGAGGUUGGUAGACAGUUUUUUGGAGUCCCA